UACGUAGGGGGCGAGCGUUGUCCGGAUUUAUUGGGCGUAAAGAGCUCGUAGGCGGUUCGGUAAGUCGGAUGUGAAAUCUCCACGCUCAACGUGGAGGGGCCAUUCGAUACUGCCGUGACUAGAGUCCGGUAGGGGAGUGUGGAAUUCCCGGUGUAGCGGUGAAAUGCGCAGAGAUCGGGAGGAACACCCGUAGCGAAGGCGGCACUCUGGGCCGUGACUGACGCUGAGGAGCGAAAGCGUGGGGAGCGAACAGG
RNAcentral lists this ribosomal RNA (254 nucleotides) under uncultured bacterium. RNAcentral describes it as "partial 16S ribosomal RNA". It matches the Rfam family "Bacterial small subunit ribosomal RNA", at positions 524 to 776 of the family's 1533-position model. The record is from RNAcentral.